This 1119-nucleotide long non-coding RNA is filed under the name Cucumis sativus (cucumber). Its description in RNAcentral is "long non-coding RNA (CSAT_LNC001112)". The record is from RNAcentral. Lineage: Eukaryota; Viridiplantae; Streptophyta; Magnoliopsida; Cucurbitales; Cucurbitaceae.
CAUGAAGUUAGGAUCGUAACCAAAGUGGCUUUCAAUGUAAGAUUUUAUAGAAAUUGGAUCAGACAAUCCAGGCACCGAUAUCUUCUUCUCAACAUCACCAUAUUGCGAUAUGAUCAACCCAUACACGGUCCACGCUAUGGGGCAGAUCCAAUAAUACCACACCCACCAUUUGGGAAUUCUCUGAAGUUCCAACAAAAAAAAAGUUUCAUUAGCUUUAUAUGUAUGUAGUUUAAAUUGAUUCUCUUAAUAUUUGAACUUGAAACGCGUCCUUACCGGUCUUGGGACAAAGAACCCAGAGAAGAGGUUGAAGAGUGCAUAGAAAGCUGCUGCAAAUAUGGCUGCUACAUGGUGGUUUGGUGUGAUGGACACAGUCAUCAUUCCAUAGUAUGUGAAGUAAAGGAAGGAGAAGAAGUUGAUGAAGUAAAACCAGAAGAACUUUGGAGCUGUCCAUUGAAAGCUGACCAUGGAGUACACAAUAAGAGUAUAGUAUGUUGUUUGAACAAGAAUGAAUGGGAUCUCUACCAACACCUGCAUUAUUCACAUGAUUCAAUUUCAAUAAUUGGUUCUUUAUAUCAAAAUAGCAUCAAAAUAUCUAAAGAUUCAUGGGGCAGCAGAAGAGCAAAACUAAUUAUUGAAAAUACUAAUAAAUUGGUUAAGUAACUCACCUGUGCAAGGGCAUAAGGAAAUGCAGAAUACAUUCCAGCAGCUCUUUCUCUGUAGAAUACAGUUCUCUCCACUGACACUAUGGGUUGUACAGUUUGGCAAUUAUUGAUUCCAACAAAUAAUACAGCAGCAUACAUGGCGCCGAUAAUCAUGGUGAGAUCGGUCGAACUAUCCCUGAAUGACACGCAAAUAGCAAUUUCAAAACGAGAUUUCAAACAAUUGAUGCUGAAUAAAUAGACAUCUCCUUCCAUAAUUAUUUGAAUAAUUGUUAGGAGGAAAUAAGAACGUACCUUUUGGUGCCAACUUUCCAGAAAACUGUCCCAAUCAUGAGAGCAGCAGCCAAAGUGAAAAAGUAUCUAACAAGGUUAUAAUCAGGACUUCUCCAGUAAGUCCACCAUUGUUUCCAAAGACAACAUUUCAACUGUCCCCAUGUCGAUUGUGAGUAUUGACUCUCAA